GUAGUUAGCCGGGGCUUCCUCCUUGGCUACCGUCAUUGUGUUCGUCACCAAGGACAGAGGUUUACAAUCCGAGAACCUUCAUCCCUCACGCGGCGUUGCUGGGUCAGGCUUUCGCCCAUUGCCCAAUAUUCCCCACUGCUGCCUCCCGUAGGAGUCUGGACCGUCUCUCAGUUCCAGUGUGGCCGUUCGCCCUCUCAGGCCGGCUACCCAUCGAUGCCUUGGUGGGCCGUUACCUCACCAACUAGCUAAUGGGACGCGAACUCACCCCAAACCGGAUCGCUCCUUUUACCUCAAAGCCAUGCGGCCUCGUGGUCUUAUGCGGUAUUAGCACCUGUUUCCAAGUGUUAUCCCCCUGUCUGGGACAGAUUGUUCACGCGUUACUCACCCGUCCGCCGCUGACCCCGAAGGGCCCGCUCGACUUGCAUGUGUUAAGCCUGCCGCCAGCGUUCGCUCUGAGCCAGAAUCAAACUACUAGA
This 476-nucleotide ribosomal RNA is filed under the name uncultured bacterium. RNAcentral's name for it is "partial 16S ribosomal RNA". The record is from RNAcentral.